AGACCCGAAACCCGGUGAUCUAGCCAUGGGCAGGUUGAAGGUUGGGUAACACUAACUGGAGGACCGAACCGACUAAUGUUGAAAAAUUAGCGGAUGACCUGUGGCUGGGGGUGAAAGGCCAAUCAAACCGGGAGAUAGCUGGUUCUCCCCGAAAGCUAUUUAGGUAGCGCCUCGUGAAUUCAUCUCCGGGGGUAGAGCACUGUUUCGGCUAGGGGGCCAUCCCGGCUUACCAACCCGAUGCAAACUGCGAAUACCGGAGAAUGUUAUCACGGGAGACACACGGCGGGUGCUAACGUCCGUCGUGAAGAGGGAAACAACCCAGACCGCCAGCUAAGGUCCCAAAGUCAUGGUUAAGUGGGAAACGAUGUGGGAAGGCCCAGACAGCCAGGAUGUUGGCUUAGAAGCAGCCAUCAUUUAAAGAAAGCGUAAUAGCUCACUGGUCGAGUCGGCCUGCGCGGAAGAUGUAACGGGGCUAAACCAUGCACCGAAGCUGCGGCAGCGACGCUGAUGCGUUGUUGGGUAGGGGAGCGUUCUGUAAGCCUGCGAAGGUGUGUCGUGAGGCAUGCUGGAGGUAUCAGAAGUGCGAAUGCUGACAUAAGUAACGAUAAAGCGGGUGAAAAGCCCGCUCGCCGGAAGACCAAGGGUUCCUGUCCAACGUUAAUCGGGGCAGGGUGAGUCGACCCCUAAGGCGAGGCCGAAAGGCGUAGUCGAUGGGAAACGGGUUAAUAUUCCCGUACUUGGUGUUACUGCGAAGGGGGGACGGAGAAGGCUAUGUUGGCCGGGCGACGGUUGUCCCGGUUUAAGCGUGUAGGUGUGUGUUCCAGGUAAAUCCGGUUCACUUUAACACUGAGGCGUGAUGACGAGGCACUACGGUGCUGAAGCAACAAAUGCCCUGCUUCCAGGAAAAGCCUCUAAGCAUCAGGUAACAUCAAAUCGUACCCCAAACCGACACAGGUGGUCAGGUAGAGAAUACCAAGGCGCUUGAGAGAACUCGGGUGAAGGAACUAGGCAAAAUGGUGCCGUAACUUCGGGAGAAGGCACGCUGACACGUAGGUGAAGUGAUUUACUCAUGGAGCUGAAGUCAGUCGAAGAUACCAGCUGGCUGCAACUGUUUAUUAAAAACACAGCACUGUGCAAACACGAAAGUGGACGUAUACGGUGUGACGCCUGCCCGGUGCCGGAAGGUUAAUUGAUGGGGUCAGCGCAAGCGAAGCUCCUGAUCGAAGCCCCGGUAAACGGCGGCCGUAACUAUAACGGUCCUAAGGUAGCGAAAUUCCUUGUCGGGUAAGUUCCGACCUGCACGAAUGGCGUAAUGAUGGCCAGGCUGUCUCCACCCGAGACUCAGUGAAAUUGAACUCGCUGUGAAGAUGCAGUGUACCCGCGGCAAGACGGAAAGACCCCGUGAACCUUUACUAUAGCUUGACACUGAACAUUGAGCCUUGAUGUGUAGGAUAGGUGGGAGGCUUUGAAGUGUGGACGCCAGUCUGCAUGGAGCCGGCCUUGAAAUACCACCCUUUAAUGUUUGAUGUUCUAACGUGGACCCGUGAUCCGGGUUGCGGACAGUGUCUGGUGGGUAGUUUGACUGGGGCGGUCUCCUCCUAAAGAGUAACGGAGGAGCACGAAGGUUGGCUAAUCCUGGUCGGACAUCAGGAGGUUAGUGCAAUGGCAUAAGCCAGCUUGACUGCGAGCGUGACGGCGCGAGCAGGUGCGAAAGCAGGUCAUAGUGAUCCGGUGGUUCUGAAUGGAAGGGCCAUCGCUCAACGGAUAAAAGGUACUCCGGGGAUAACAGGCUGAUACCGCCCAAGAGUUCAUAUCGACGGCGGUGUUUGGCACCUCGAUGUCGGCUCAUCACAUCCUGGGGCUGAAGUAGGUCCCAAGGGUAUGGCUGUUCGCCAUUUAAAGUGGUACGCGAGCUGGGUUUAGAACGUCGUGAGACAGUUCGGUCCCUAUCUGCCGUGGGCGCUGGAGAACUGAGGGGGGCUGCUCCUAGUACGAGAGGACCGGAGUGGACGCAUCACUGGUGUUCGGGUUGUCAUGCCAAUGGCACUGCCCGGUAGCUAAAUGCGGAAGAGAUAAGUGCUGAAAGCAUCUAAGCACGAAACUUGCCCCGAGAUGAGUUCUCCCUGAGACUU
RNAcentral lists this ribosomal RNA (2132 nucleotides) under Salmonella enterica subsp. enterica serovar Johannesburg. RNAcentral describes it as "partial 23S ribosomal RNA". It matches the Rfam family "Bacterial large subunit ribosomal RNA", at positions 711 to 2823 of the family's 2925-position model. The record is from RNAcentral. Lineage: Bacteria; Pseudomonadati; Pseudomonadota; Gammaproteobacteria; Enterobacterales; Enterobacteriaceae.